UAAGGGCGCACGGUGGAUGCCUUGGCACUAGAAGCCGAUGAAGGACGUUACUAACGACGAUAUGCUUUGGGGAGCUGUAAGUAAGCUUUGAUCCAGAGAUUUCCGAAUGGGGAAACCCAGCAUGAGUUAUGUCAUGUUAUCGAUAUGUGAAUACAUAGCAUAUCAGAAGGCACACCCGGAGAACUGAAACAUCUUAGUACCCGGAGGAAGAGAAAGAAAAUUCGAUUCCCUUAGUAGCGGCGAGCGAAACGGGAAGAGCCCAAACCAACAAGCUUGCUUGUUGGGGUUGUAGGACACUCUAUACGGAGUUACAAAGGACGACAUUAGACGAAUCAUCUGGAAAGAUGAAUCAAAGAAGGUAAUAAUCCUGUAGUCGAAAAUGUUGUCUCUCUUGAGUGGAUCCUGAGUACGACGGAGCACGUGAAAUUCCGUCGGAAUCUGGGAGGACCAUCUCCUAAGGCUAAAUACUCUCUAGUGACCGAUAGUGAACCAGUACCGUGAGGGAAAGGUGAAAAGCACCCCGGAAGGGGAGUGAAAUAGAACCUGAAACCGUGUGCUUACAAGUAGUCAGAGCCCGUUAAUGGGUGAUGGCGUGCCUUUUGUAGAAUGAACCGGCGAGUUACGAUUUGAUGCAAGGUUAAGCAGUAAAUGUGGAGCCGUAGCGAAAGCGAGUCUGAAUAGGGCGUUUAGUAUUUGGUCGUAGACCCGAAACCAGGUGAUCUACCCUUGGUCAGGUUGAAGUUCAGGUAACACUGAAUGGAGGACCGAACCGACUUACGUUGAAAAGUGAGCGGAUGAACUGAGGGUAGCGGAGAAAUUCCAAUCGAACCUGGAGAUAGCUGGUUCUCUCCGAAAUAGCUUUAGGGCUAGCCUCAAGUGAUGAUUAUUGGAGGUAGAGCACUGUUUGGACGAGGGGCCCCUCUCGGGUUACCGAAUUCAGACAAACUCCGAAUGCCAAUUAAUUUAACUUGGGAGUCAGAACAUGGGUGAUAAGGUCCGUGUUCGAAAGGGAAACAGCCCAGACCACCAGCUAAGGUCCCAAAAUAUAUGUUAAGUGGAAAAGGAUGUGGCGUUGCCCAGACAACUAGGAUGUUGGCUUAGAAGCAGCCAUCAUUUAAAGAGUGCGUAAUAGCUCACUAGUCGAGUGACACUGCGCCGAAAAUGUACCGGGGCUAAACAUAUUACCG
This 1187-nucleotide ribosomal RNA is filed under the name Staphylococcus aureus. RNAcentral describes it as "partial 23S ribosomal RNA". It matches the Rfam family "Bacterial large subunit ribosomal RNA", at positions 12 to 1196 of the family's 2925-position model. Lineage: Bacteria; Bacillati; Bacillota; Bacilli; Caryophanales; Staphylococcaceae. The record is from RNAcentral.